GGAGUUCCCGUGAACACGUCAUCCCCAAACAGAUUAAAAAAAAAACUGGGAUCAUCAUUCAUCAGUGGGUUAGGAAAUGAGAGAUGAGGGAUACCGUACACCUGAGUAGCAGGGGAUCAUGGGAUUGGGUUUCCUUUCUUUCCUUUCUCCUUAAAUCAAAUCUCAACUCAAUCCCCCCCUCCUGUGCUGCUGCUGCUGCUGCUGCUGCUGCUGCUGCUGUCGUCUUUACGACUGACUGACUGACUGUACCUCCACCCUCAGCAGAUGCAAUCCACAACUGGUGCUGCUGCCACUGCUACUGCUAGUAGUCGUACCUCCGGUGGCGGCCCCGGCCUUGCUCGCUUCCGCUCUGCUCCUGCCGCCUGGUUGGAAGCGCUUUUGGAGGACGACGAAGAGGACCCUCUCAAGCCCAAUCCCUGCUUGACUCAGCUUCUUGCCGCCAACUCCUCCGACCUCGUCUCAGCUCCCGGGGAUCACCCCUUGUUCGACCCCAAUCCCUCUCCCGCCUUCCACAGGCAGAAUAGCUCCCCACCUGAGUUUCUUGCUCCCUCUGGAAUUGCUGAAGGAUUUUACACCUCCUAUCCUCUCAAUUCCUCCCCCACUCUCGACAUCUCUCCCACCUCCAAGCCAGCUACAGAUGUCGACGCCCAAAACUUCUUCCCCAAAUUUUCCCCUCAACUGAAAAGAGAAGGAAGUGGAGUUUCCAGUUUGAUAGACAUGGAAAUGGAGAAGUUAUUGGAGGACUCUGUGCCCUGCCGGGUGAGAGCCAAGCGUGGCUGUGCGACGCAUCCUCGGAGCAUUGCUGAGAGGGUUCGUAGGACUAGAAUUAGUGACAGAAUAAGGAAGCUUCAGGAAGUUGUCCCCAACAUGGAUAAGAGCUUGGGAGCACUUCAGCAUGUUUUCUUUUCCAGUUGAGCUGAAAAUUAGGUAAGCAAAGUGGAAUGGCAGAGACGAAAUUAGAAGCAGACUGAAGCUUCAAUUCAACUAAGAGAAAACUAGAAGCUGCCUCCAACUUGUAGAGCAAAAACAAAGGGUUGAGUUGACUGAGAGAGUUAAGAAAGAAAUCUUGAAGCCUAUUCCUCAGAGAAAUCCAUGUGCGCUACUCAAAAGUGCUAUUAGGACUUUUGGACGGAGGGACUUUCUUUCUUGAUUUGCUGGCUGGAAAACAAGCGUGAAGGACAUCUGCUGCGAACAAACAAAAAUGUGGUGUAUAAGAGAAUGAUUUAGGCAUAUGUCAGAUGACGAUGGUGAUAACUGGUAGGCAUAGUAGGUAACCGAUGGUCGGAGAAGAGUGGCGCUAAUGACUAGAAGGGGAAAGAGUGGAGGACAAAAAAGGGAGAGAGGGGAGUUGGGAAGUUGGAAAAGCAAGUCACCAACUUAACCAACACAUCUUAAUUCCGUUUGUCCACUGGUGUAGAAAUGAGGCUGAAGAUCAUUUAAAACCAUUUUUAUAACCACAGCACCGAUGAUGCAGUUUUACCAUAUUUAAAUUAUUAUGGCAAACAAACACUGCAGAUAUGUUAGAAGAAGCAGUAGAGUAUGUCAAAU
This is an RNA transcript of Cucumis melo (muskmelon), 1548 nucleotides long. It is a transcript of the gene named transcription factor bHLH80, with no coding region annotated. The record is from RefSeq and is a predicted model, not a curated record. NCBI's taxonomy places the organism in Eukaryota, Viridiplantae, Streptophyta, Magnoliopsida, Cucurbitales, Cucurbitaceae. The transcript has 6 exons.